RNAcentral lists this unclassified non-coding RNA (161 nucleotides) under uncultured Chaetomiaceae. RNAcentral's name for it is "partial internal transcribed spacer 2". The record is from RNAcentral. Lineage: Eukaryota; Fungi; Ascomycota; Sordariomycetes; Sordariales.
CAACCCUCAAGCCCCCGGGCUUGGUGUUGGGGACCUGCGGCUGCCCGCAGGCCCUGAAAACCAGUGGCGGGCUCGCUGUCACCCCGAGCGUAGUAGCAAUCACCUCGCUCAGGGCGUGCCGCGGGCACCGGCCGUUAAAGCUGCCUUCGCGCAACACCCAA